Molecule: long non-coding RNA, 799 nt
Filed under: Phoenix dactylifera (date palm)
Lineage: Eukaryota; Viridiplantae; Streptophyta; Magnoliopsida; Arecales; Arecaceae
Description: long non-coding RNA (PDAC_LNC011130)
Source: RNAcentral
GGGAGAAGUAAAGAAAGAGUAAUAAGAAGUUGAAGUAAAGAAAGAGAAAUAACAAGGAGAAAUAAGAAAUUGUGUAAGAAAAGAGAAAUUACUUGUAAAACAAAUUGAAAAUCAUAUAGGAAAGCAUAUAUAUUUAAGGGGGAGCAAUUUGUAACAAUGAAAAUGAUCAAAUCAAAAAUUUCUAUCAAAUCUCAGAAUUUGGCACAUAGAAUUUCAGAAUUUGGCACAUACCUUUCACACCUCGAUACAUAAUCUGAAACUCAUGUUUUAUCUCAAAUUUUUGAAGUUUCAUCUUUAAUGAAAUAUAAAUGAAAGGGGGAGCAAUUCAAAAAGUCAAAUUGGAAACAUUUGAAUGAUAUAGGGGGAGACUUCACUCUCAUAUUUGAAAAGCUGAAAUUCAGCAACUUGAACCCUUUUAAAACUGAUUUUAAGAUAAGUAUCAAUAGGCUCAUACUCUAUAUUUUGUAAUCAUCAAAAAGGGGGAGAUUGAGGAUGAUAAUGUUAUUUUGAUGAUUAACAAGCAAUAAUCAAGAGUAUGUUACAAGUUAAUUCGAUACUUCAUUUAUAAGUCUGUUACUCUCAGUAUAUUUGUAUAAAUGCAUUUCAUUGUUUAUUUAGAUGAAUCUAACAUUGAGUUGCAGCAAAGUGUGGAUUGAGUCGACCCCAAGGUUGAUUGGGUCGACUCUGGCACAUCAAGAAAGCAUUUGGCACGCUUCUGCAAAAAUGGCACAGAUGAACAGUAAGUUGGGUCGACCCAAGAAAAGCAUGAGUCGACCCAAACCUCAAGCCUCUCAAAGAC